AAGCUAAUUAUAUAAAAGUGCAAAUUUUAUUUUGAGGUAGCUCUUAGCUUU
RNAcentral lists this transfer RNA (51 nucleotides) under Neelus murinus. RNAcentral's name for it is "tRNA-Cys". Lineage: Eukaryota; Metazoa; Arthropoda; Collembola; Neelipleona; Neelidae. The record is from RNAcentral.